RNAcentral lists this ribosomal RNA (408 nucleotides) under uncultured bacterium. RNAcentral's name for it is "bacterial SSU rRNA". It matches the Rfam family "Bacterial small subunit ribosomal RNA", at positions 355 to 775 of the family's 1533-position model. The record is from RNAcentral.
UGGGGAAUAUUGCGCAAUGGGCGAAAGCCUGACGCAGCGACGCCGCGUGAGGGAUGAAGGCCUUCGGGUUGUAAACCUCUUUCAGCAGGGACGAAGCGAAAGUGACGGUACCUGCAGAAGAAGCACCGGCCAACUACGUGCCAGCAGCCGCGGUAAUACGUAGGGUGCAAGCGUUGUCCGGAAUUAUUGGGCGUAAAGAGCUCGUAGGUGGCCUGUCGCGUCGGCUGUGAAAACUCAGGGCUCAACCCUGAGCCUGCAGUCGAUACGGGCAGGCUAGAGUCCGGCAGGGGAGACUGGAAUUCCUGGUGUAGCGGUGAAAUGCGCAGAUAUCAGGAGGAACACCGGUGGCGAAGGCGGGUCUCUGGGCCGGAACUGACACUGAGGAGCGAAAGCGUGGGGAGCGAACAG